CUACAAGGGUUUCUAAUCCUGUUUGCUCCCCACGCUUUCGUACCUCAGCGUCAACAGUCGUCCAGUGAGUCGCCUUCGCCACUGGUGUUCUUCCGAAUAUCUACGAAUUUCACCUCUACACUCGGAAUUCCACUCACCUCUCCGACGUUCUAGCGAUGCAGUCUUAAAGGCAAUUCCGGAGUUGAGCUCCGGGCUUUCACCUCUAACUUACAAAGCCGCCUACGUACGCUUUACGCCCAGUAAUUCCGAACAACGCUAGCCCCCUCCGUAUUACCGCGGCUGCUGGCAC
This 289-nucleotide ribosomal RNA is filed under the name uncultured Sphingomonadaceae bacterium. RNAcentral's name for it is "partial 16S ribosomal RNA". Lineage: Bacteria; Pseudomonadati; Pseudomonadota; Alphaproteobacteria; Sphingomonadales; Sphingomonadaceae. The record is from RNAcentral.